This is a long non-coding RNA of Melopsittacus undulatus (budgerigar), 473 nucleotides long. RefSeq lists it as uncharacterized. Lineage: Eukaryota; Metazoa; Chordata; Aves; Psittaciformes; Psittaculidae. The record is from RefSeq and is a predicted model, not a curated record. The transcript is spliced from 5 exons.
GGAAAUGGUGAUUCACCUUUAUGGAGCAAAUCAAUGAAACAGCACAACUUGAGCAGCCCAGACCACUCAGAAAUGAGCCAUGACUGAAACCAGCUCUCCAGAGUGAUGCUGAUCAUGUUACAGGUAAUCCAAGAAGUGGAGAGUUGCUGCAUGGCAUGCUGAGGAGCCAGGAUUCUCCUACAUGGUUUUGCUACAUGACCAUAGUGGUGGAACAGCAAGACCUGCAGGAAGGGUGGUGCUGGGCAUUCUGCCUCCGGGCACAGAAACACUUCUGAGCAUGGUACAGGUGUUGGAGCUGGCAGGGAUAAUCUGCUAUUGAGACUGUAAUUUAUCCAGCCGGCUCUGCUGAGGCAGAAAACACCUGCUCUGCUCUGGAGUGCUGCAGGAUCAGGAAAGACAGAACUGGACAAGACCUCAUAGAAUGCUGGGCUGUUCCUUUUGCUCCCGGAAGGAUGAACAGAAUAUUGACCAUC